This 449-nucleotide ribosomal RNA is filed under the name Caldibacillus debilis GB1. RNAcentral's name for it is "bacterial SSU rRNA". It matches the Rfam family "Bacterial small subunit ribosomal RNA", at positions 19 to 453 of the family's 1533-position model. The record is from RNAcentral. Lineage: Bacteria; Bacillati; Bacillota; Bacilli; Caryophanales; Bacillaceae.
CUGGCUCAGGACGAACGCUGGCGGCGUGCCUAAUACAUGCAAGUCGAGCGGGGCUUGAGGAGGGCUUGCCCUUCGAGAGCCCAGCGGCGGACGGGUGAGUAACACGUGGGUAACCUGCCCGUAAGACCGGGAUAACUCCGGGAAACCGGGGCUAAUACCGGAUAACACCGGGGGCCGCAUGGCUUCCGGUUGAAAGGCGGCCUUUGGCUGCCACUUACGGAUGGGCCCGCGGCGCAUUAGCUAGUUGGCGGGGUAACGGCCCACCAAGGCGACGAUGCGUAGCCGGCCUGAGAGGGUGGACGGCCACACUGGGACUGAGACACGGCCCAGACUCCUACGGGAGGCAGCAGUAGGGAAUCUUCCGCAAUGGGCGAAAGCCUGACGGAGCGACGCCGCGUGAGCGAGGAAGGCCUUCGGGUCGUAAAGCUCUGUUGUCAGGGAAGAAGGCG